AAAAUUUGUUAUUGAAAUUUAAUUUAAACUGUUUCUUAUCUGUUUUUAAAGGUAGUUUUAAGUUUUAAGUAAAAAAUUAUUUUUUUAAAAAUAAGUAAAAUAAUGAACAUUUAAUAUAGAUUAUAGCUUAGUUUUGUACUGUAAAGGAUGUAUUUAAAAUUAAAGUAAAGAAAAAAUUAAUUUUUGUACCUUUUGUAUCAGGGUUGAUCAAAAUAUUUAGUUUAUUUAUUGAAAUCUCGAAGUAAAAUGAGUGAGUAAAUUAUUAUUAUUUAUGUAAAAAAAUGAAAUUAUUAAUAAUUUAUUAGUGAUGAAAUGUCAGUCGAUUUUUAUAUAUCUAGUUUUUUUUGAAACAAAUUUAAUUUGAUUUUUUAUUUUAAAAUGUAAAAAUUAUACUUUAAGAGGGAUAAGCUUCUUAAGUAAAUAAAUAUAAUGACAACAAACUAUUAUCUUUUAUUUAGGCUUAAAAUCAGCUAUAUUUUUAUAUCGUUUUAGAAAAUAAGAUUAUUAUUCGUUAUUUUUAUGUCAUUUAUUAUUAAGUAAAAAAAAAAUUAUUUUAGUUUAUUUUAUAAUUAUACAAUGAUUAUAUUAGUAAAUUUAUUUUGUGGAAUAAAAAAUUAGACUUUAAGUUUAAGUUAUAUUAAUCGUAGUUAAGUUAUAGUUGAGGAACUCGGCAAAUUUUACUUCUGCCUGUUUAUCAAAAACAUGUCUGUGUGAAUAAUAAUAUACAGUCUGGCCUGCCCACUGAAAUAUUUAAAGGGCCGCGGUAUUUGAACCGUGCUAAGGUAGCAUAAUAAAUAGUCUUUUAAUUGAGGUCUAGUAUGAAUGGUCGGACAUGAAGUAAUCUGUUUUAAUUAUAAGAUUUGAAUUUUACUUUUAAGUGAAAAGGCUUAAAUUAUAUGAUGGGACGAUAAGACCCUAUAAAGCUUUACGUUUUAUUUAUUUGUUGGAGAGUUUAAGGUUUUCUAUUUUUGUAAAUUAAAACGUUUCGUUGGGGCGACGAAAAUAUAAAAAGUAACUGUUUUAUUAUUAAAAUAAAUUUUUUUUAGGUAAUUUGAUCCUUUAUAGAGAUUAAAAGAAUUAAGUUACUUUAGGGAUAACAGCGUAAUUUUUCUUGAGAGUUCUUAUCGACAGAAGUAGUUGCGACCUCGAUGUUGAAUUAAGAUACCCCCAGGGUGUAGAAGUUUUGGUGGUAGGUCUGUUCGACCUUUAAAA
RNAcentral lists this ribosomal RNA (1212 nucleotides) under Caridina sp. FB-5. RNAcentral describes it as "partial 16S ribosomal RNA". The record is from RNAcentral. Lineage: Eukaryota; Metazoa; Arthropoda; Malacostraca; Decapoda; Atyidae.